AUUGAACGCUGGCGGCAGGCCUAACACAUGCAAGUCGAAUGGUAACAGGAAACAGCUUGCUGUUUCGCUGACGAGUGGCGGACGGGUGAGUAAUGUCUGGGAAACUGCCUGAUGGAGGGGGAUAACUACUGGAAACGGUAGCUAAUACCGCAUAACGUCGCAAGACCAAAGAGGGGGACCUUCGGGCCUCUUGCCAUCAGAUGUGCCCAGAUGGGAUUAGCUAGUAGGUGGGGUAACGGCUCACCUAGGCGACGAUCCCUAGCUGGUCUGAGAGGAUGACCCGCCACACUGGAACUGAGACACGGUCCAGACUCCUACGGGAGGCAGCAGUGGGGAAUAUUGCACGAUGGGCGCAAGCCUGAUGCAGCCAUGCCGCGUGUAUGAAGAAGGCCUUCGGGUUGUAAAGUACUUUCAGCGGGGAGGAAGGGAGUAAAGUUAAUACCUUUGCUCAUUGACGUUACCCGCAGAAGAAGCACCGGCUAACUCCGUG
RNAcentral lists this ribosomal RNA (490 nucleotides) under uncultured bacterium. RNAcentral describes it as "partial 16S ribosomal RNA". It matches the Rfam family "Bacterial small subunit ribosomal RNA", at positions 30 to 507 of the family's 1533-position model. The record is from RNAcentral.